Molecule: ribosomal RNA, 672 nt
Filed under: Pterygodium leucanthum
Lineage: Eukaryota; Viridiplantae; Streptophyta; Magnoliopsida; Asparagales; Orchidaceae
Description: eukaryotic LSU rRNA
Rfam family: 5.8S ribosomal RNA (bases 217-372)
Source: RNAcentral
AACAUGUGAACUAACUAGCAGCAGUCAAUCACUGUUGUGCACCUGUCCAUCUAUUUGCAUGAUACUCUCUUUAGAGGCAUGCUAUGUAGGCGGGCCGGAGAACAAAUGGGCGCAGCUCAGUGCCAAGGAAAAUAUACACAUCAUGAGCGUUGGCGGCAAAUGUCCUAAAAKCAUAAAUGUUUUUGGGGGUUGCGGCUUGCUCCAUAAGAGUUGUAGGACUCUCGGCAAUGGAUAUCUUGGCUCCCGCAUCGAUGAAGAGCGCAGCGAAAUGCGAUACGUGGUGCGAAUUGCAGAAUCCCGUGAACCAUCGAGUUUUUGAACGCAAGUUGCGCCUGAGGCCAACUGGCUAAGGGCACGUCCGCCUGGGCGUCAAACAUUGCAUCGCUCCACYCGACACCCACCAUGAUUAUAAUGUGAYGGKUGUUGGCGCGGAUGCGGAGAAUGGCCCGUCGUGCGUUAUUGCGCGGCGGGUUUAAGAGUGGGAUGAUUUUCUCUUGUUGAUGAUCGAUAAAUGGGUGGGAUGGAAGCGCCAUUUGAUCCUAAUCAUCGUAUGGUUGCCUUGAGAAAGCAUACAUAUCCCCGCCUAACCCAACUCAAGUGUUGUCGAAAGCAAAAAUUGAAAUGCGACCCCAGGAUGGGCGGGGUGACCCGCUGAGUUAAGCAUAUCAAUAA